CUAGAGAUAGAAAGUUACUUCGGUACAUCGGUGACAGGUGGUGCAUGGUUGUCGUCAGCUCGUGUCGUGAGAUGUUGGGUUAAGUCCCGCAACGAGCGCAACCCCUAUUGUUAGUUGCCAUCAUUCAGUUGGGCACUCUAGCGAGACUGCGGUAAUAAACCGGAGGAAGUGGGAUGACGUCAAAUCAUCAUGCCCUUAUGACCUGGGCUACACACGUGCUACAAUGGUUGGUACAACGAGUUGCGAGUCGGUGACGGCGAGCUAAUCUCUUAAAGCCAAUCUCAGUUCGGAUUGUAGGCUGCAACUCGCCUACAUGAAGUCGGAAUCGCUAGUAAUCGCGGAUCAGCACGCCGCGGUGAAUACGUUCCCGGGCCUU
This 376-nucleotide ribosomal RNA is filed under the name uncultured Streptococcus sp. RNAcentral describes it as "bacterial SSU rRNA". It matches the Rfam family "Bacterial small subunit ribosomal RNA", at positions 1000 to 1382 of the family's 1533-position model. Lineage: Bacteria; Bacillati; Bacillota; Bacilli; Lactobacillales; Streptococcaceae. The record is from RNAcentral.